CCUACGGGAGGCAGCAGUGGGGAAUAUUGCGCAAUGGGCGAAAGCCUGACGCAGCGACGCCGCGUGAGGGAUGAAGGUCUUCGGAUCGUACACCUCUGUCAGCAGGGAAGAACGGUCACUGUGCUAAUCAGCAGUGAAUUGACGGUACCUGCAAAGGAAGCACCGGCUAACUCCGUGCCAGCAGCCGCGGUAAUACGGAGGGUGCGAGCGUUAAUCGGAAUGACUGGGCGUAAAGCGCUCGUAGGCGGUAUGUCAAGUCAAGGGUGAAAUCCCCGCGCUCAACGUGGGAACUGCCUUUGAAACUGGCAAACUGGAGUGUGUGAGAGGAAAGUGGAAGUCGAGGUGUAGGAGUGAAAUCCGUAGAUAUCUGGAGGAACAUCAGUGGCGAAGGCGACUAUCUGGCACAUAACUGACGCUGAGGAGCGAAAGCGUGGGUAGCAAACAGGAUUAGAUACCCCGGUAGUC
RNAcentral lists this ribosomal RNA (465 nucleotides) under uncultured bacterium. RNAcentral describes it as "partial 16S ribosomal RNA". It matches the Rfam family "Bacterial small subunit ribosomal RNA", at positions 338 to 795 of the family's 1533-position model. The record is from RNAcentral.